This 253-nucleotide ribosomal RNA is filed under the name uncultured bacterium. RNAcentral's name for it is "partial 16S ribosomal RNA". It matches the Rfam family "Bacterial small subunit ribosomal RNA", at positions 524 to 776 of the family's 1533-position model. The record is from RNAcentral.
UACGUAGGGGGCAAGCGUUGUCCGGAUUUAUUGGGCGUAAAGAGCGUGUAGGCGGCUAGGUAGGUCCGUUGUGAAAACUCGAGGCUCAACCUCGAGACGCCGAUGGAAACCAUCUAGCUAGAGUCCGGAAGAGGAGAGUGGAAUUCCUGGUGUAGCGGUGAAAUGCGCAGAUAUCAGGAAGAACACCCGUGGCGAAGGCGGCGACCUGGGCCAAUAUUGACGCUGAGGUGCGAAAGCGUGGGGAGCAAACAGG